This 1541-nucleotide ribosomal RNA is filed under the name Vibrio alginolyticus. Its description in RNAcentral is "bacterial SSU rRNA". It matches the Rfam family "Bacterial small subunit ribosomal RNA". The record is from RNAcentral. Lineage: Bacteria; Pseudomonadati; Pseudomonadota; Gammaproteobacteria; Vibrionales; Vibrionaceae.
AGAGUUUGAUCAUGGCUCAGAUUGAACGCUGGCGGCAGGCCUAACACAUGCAAGUCGAGCGGAAACGAGUUAUCUGAACCUUCGGGGGACGAUAACGGCGUCGAGCGGCGGACGGGUGAGUAAUGCCUAGGAAAUUGCCCUGAUGUGGGGGAUAACCAUUGGAAACGAUGGCUAAUACCGCAUGAUGCCUACGGGCCAAAGAGGGGGACCUUCGGGCCUCUCGCGUCAGGAUAUGCCUAGGUGGGAUUAGCUAGUUGGUGAGGUAAGGGCUCACCAAGGCGACGAUCCCUAGCUGGUCUGAGAGGAUGAUCAGCCACACUGGAACUGAGACACGGUCCAGACUCCUACGGGAGGCAGCAGUGGGGAAUAUUGCACAAUGGGCGCAAGCCUGAUGCAGCCAUGCCGCGUGUAUGAAGAAGGCCUUCGGGUUGUAAAGUACUUUCAGUCGUGAGGAAGGUAGUGUAGUUAAUAGCUGCAUUAUUUGACGUUAGCGACAGAAGAAGCACCGGCUAACUCCGUGCCAGCAGCCGCGGUAAUACGGAGGGUGCGAGCGUUAAUCGGAAUUACUGGGCGUAAAGCGCAUGCAGGUGGUUUGUUAAGUCAGAUGUGAAAGCCCGGGGCUCAACCUCGGAAUAGCAUUUGAAACUGGCAGACUAGAGUACUGUAGAGGGGGGUAGAAUUUCAGGUGUAGCGGUGAAAUGCGUAGAGAUCUGAAGGAAUACCGGUGGCGAAGGCGGCCCCCUGGACAGAUACUGACACUCAGAUGCGAAAGCGUGGGGAGCAAACAGGAUUAGAUACCCUGGUAGUCCACGCCGUAAACGAUGUCUACUUGGAGGUUGUGGCCUUGAGCCGUGGCUUUCGGAGCUAACGCGUUAAGUAGACCGCCUGGGGAGUACGGUCGCAAGAUUAAAACUCAAAUGAAUUGACGGGGGCCCGCACAAGCGGUGGAGCAUGUGGUUUAAUUCGAUGCAACGCGAAGAACCUUACCUACUCUUGACAUCCAGAGAACUUUCCAGAGAUGGAUUGGUGCCUUCGGGAACUCUGAGACAGGUGCUGCAUGGCUGUCGUCAGCUCGUGUUGUGAAAUGUUGGGUUAAGUCCCGCAACGAGCGCAACCCUUAUCCUUGUUUGCCAGCGAGUAAUGUCGGGAACUCCAGGGAGACUGCCGGUGAUAAACCGGAGGAAGGUGGGGACGACGUCAAGUCAUCAUGGCCCUUACGAGUAGGGCUACACACGUGCUACAAUGGCGCAUACAGAGGGCGGCCAACUUGCGAAAGUGAGCGAAUCCCAAAAAGUGCGUCGUAGUCCGGAUUGGAGUCUGCAACUCGACUCCAUGAAGUCGGAAUCGCUAGUAAUCGUGGAUCAGAAUGCCACGGUGAAUACGUUCCCGGGCCUUGUACACACCGCCCGUCACACCAUGGGAGUGGGCUGCAAAAGAAGUAGGUAGUUUAACCUUCGGGGGGACGCUUACCACUUUGUGGUUCAUGACUGGGGUGAAGUCGUAACAAGGUAGCGCUAGGGGAACCUGGCGCUGGAUCACCU